UUAUGGUCUUUUCACGUGUUGGCCCGUUGUGUAGUCGUCGCUGGUUGGCCCGUCGGUGGAUGAGGUGAGGGCAGCAGCCUCUUCGCCCUCUCUCCCUCGCUCGAUCUUCUAUCCAAGCCGCCCGCACACCCCAUGUCAUCGCGCCACCGCCGUCGUUGCCACUCCCAUCUCAGGGCACGCCGUCCGCUCCCGAGCCCGGUCCCCUGCUCCGACCCCGCAGAGGGCAUGUUCAUGGACGGAGCGGAGGAGGAGAUCCAGGCGGAGGGCACCAUCUCCAUGGCUGCGGCCCACCCUCCUGUCUGCGUCUUCCCACGGCUGCUUCUCUGGCAGGAGGAGCAGCCCGACGGCUGCCUCCACAGUAGCAACAGCGACAACCUUUGGACUAGCUCCAUCACCACCCGCAGGCACCGGAAGGCGGCUGGAAGGAGGCGAGCGGCAGCCUCACCGCCGACACACUCGCUGCUGACGCCGGCGGCGACGACCGGACAUGGCCGCCCCCUCUCCUUCCCCUGAGAUCCGUCAAGGUCUGACGGACGUCAUCAUGGGUGGCGUGUGUAUAGGCACGGUGCCACGGACGCGGACCUCUACGGCAACCCUCCCGUCAGAUCCAGUUCAAGGCAUAUUGAGUACUGCAUGCAUAGAGCCAAUUCUUGUAUUUGAUGGAGGCCUUUUGACAAUGAAGAGCGAACAAGAGGUCAAACGUGCAAGGUAUGCUCUUCUUUGAGGGCAAUAUUCUAAUGUGUUUCAGCUGUUAAGAGACAUUUGCAUUACCUUUCAACAAUGUUAAAUAUAUUUAGAAGAUUCUUUGCAUACGAGCUACUAUUGUGGUCAUCUGGGGCUCUCUACCUAUGUAGUGCAGUUAUAGUAUCAUUACCUAAUGUUAAAUCUCUAUGUAGUCAUUUUACAGUAUUAUUUACUGGAUGCUAAUCAUGCAAUCGUUCAGGUCACGAAAUGAAAAUCUUGAGCGUGCCAGGAAACAUGAAGCAACUGGGAAUUCCCGUGCUGCUUUUGACUGCUACCAGAAAGCUCACCUAAAACUGCUUUCGAACUGAUCCAGAUCAUCUUGUUGUGGUCGCGUGAAAGGAUGGUGUUCGUGAUCUAUAUCAUGGAAAAUAAUUCCUGGAAUGCCUCUACUACCUCCUUCAUGUCCUCUAGGGUAUGUGGAAGACUGGAUUUGAUAUUAUCCUGGAAUGACAACUAUUGGUGUGCAACUCAAGAAUAUAUUUCAUGACCGAGAGAUGGAAUUUGGAGAAUCUUAGUUCUGAUAUGUACAUGAAUCUUCUUUUAUUUUGUCACGCAACUGAAGAUAUGGGACUAUUUACUCUGUGUAUCUUUUAUAAAUAAGGAAAUGGGCUAUGGUAAAAAAUUCCAAUUUUAAUUAUAUUAUGUGUAGAUGAUGCAUGGUUCCGGAAUCUUUUUGCUUUGUACCGAACUUGAUGCAACGGCACUACCAAUCUGGCUUUUUGAAACAAAUUUUGUGAUGUGCUUGCAAAAUUAAUUACCCUAUUGACUUAGUAUCCUCAGCUUACCAUGUUUUGAAACAAAUUUUGUGAUGUGCUUGCAAAAU
This is a long non-coding RNA of Triticum aestivum (bread wheat), 1567 nucleotides long. RefSeq lists it as uncharacterized. The record is from RefSeq and is a predicted model, not a curated record. Lineage: Eukaryota; Viridiplantae; Streptophyta; Magnoliopsida; Poales; Poaceae. The transcript has 4 exons.